This 402-nucleotide ribosomal RNA is filed under the name Triticum aestivum (bread wheat). Its description in RNAcentral is "partial small subunit ribosomal RNA". Lineage: Eukaryota; Viridiplantae; Streptophyta; Magnoliopsida; Poales; Poaceae. The record is from RNAcentral.
AUGAAGGCGUCCUGCUUCCUGGUGGUGCUUCUGCUCGCCGUGGCCACGGGGAGCAGGCUCUCGCUCGCCGCCCGCGAGGGCAGCACCCUGGGCGAGCUCAUCGCCAAGGCCGGCAGCUUCCUCACGUCGGCGGGCCGCGCGGGGGCGGACGGCUGGCGGUCCGCCGCCGCCGCGGAGGUGGACGCCUCGGCGAAGAAGGGGCACGGCCAUCCGGCGGGGGCGAAGAAGCGGCUGAAGAAGUCUUCCGUGAACUGCAUCCCCGCCGACAUGUGCCGGAGGAAGAAGGUGCUGUGCGGCAAGCGGUGCUACAAGACGUCGCACGCCGCCGCCGCCGCCGGCCUCAGCCACGUCCCCCCCACCCGGUGCGUCGUCAGGUGCAAGAAGUGCGUGCCCACCUGCUAG